This 497-nucleotide ribosomal RNA is filed under the name uncultured bacterium. RNAcentral's name for it is "partial 16S ribosomal RNA". It matches the Rfam family "Bacterial small subunit ribosomal RNA", at positions 28 to 507 of the family's 1533-position model. The record is from RNAcentral.
GAUGAACGCUGGCGGCGUGCCUAAUACAUGCGAGUCGAGCGAACAGACGAGGAGCUUGCUCCUCUGACGUUAGCGGCGGACGGGUGAGUACCACGUGGAUACCCUACCUAUAAGACUGGGAUAACUUCGGGAACCCGGAGCUAAUACCGGAUAAUAUAUUGAACCGCAUGGUUCAUUAGUGAAAGCCGGUUUUGCUGUCACUUAUAGAUGGAUCCGCGCCGCAUUAGCUAGUUGGUAAGGUAACGGCUUACCAAGGCGACGAUGCGUAGCCGACCUGAGAGGGUGAUCGGCCACACUGGAACUGAGACACGGUCCAGACUCCUACGGGAGGCAGCAGUAGGGAAUCUUCCGCAAUGGGCGAAAGCCUGACGGAGCAACGCCGCGUGAGUGAUGAAGGUCUUCGGAUCGUAAAACUCUGUUAUUAGGGAAGAACAAAUGUGUAAGUAACUAUGCACGUCUUGACGGUACCUAAUCAGAAAGCCACGGCUAACUACGUG